Molecule: ribosomal RNA, 510 nt
Filed under: Triticum aestivum (bread wheat)
Lineage: Eukaryota; Viridiplantae; Streptophyta; Magnoliopsida; Poales; Poaceae
Description: partial small subunit ribosomal RNA
Source: RNAcentral
AUGAGUUGGUCUAGUUUUGCAAGUUUGGGACUAGAUCAUCACAUUGGGUGCAAGUUAGGGUACCUGGGGUGCUAUUACCUCAAAUCAGAAAAUACCCUAUACAUGAGACGUGCCCAGCCAUCGCAGCUGAUGAGCGGGACAGGGAGCAGCACUGGACCACCUGUCAUUACAAAACACAAGCGCGGGCGCAAAAGCCAGUUGCACAUGCGCCGACUAACACUUCCGCGGCUCCCGAGGACGCAAAGCGCGCCCAUGCGGCGCGGUUGGUUUGGCUGCCCCACGGACCCAACAAACUGGCACCCAGCCAAUCGAAUCCAUCGCAAGCCCACAGGUCAUCCAACGCCCAAGAUCUACUGCCCGGUCAAAACGCACAAGUCAAUCUGCAGCGAACAUCCAACGGACAGGAAUGAGAAAAAGACCACGUUGACCCAAAAUGAACGGCUAGCGAAGGAUGAAUCCGGGGGAGCGCCCUGGGAGCGAGUUGCCCAGCCUCAUUAUUGGUUUAAAUAA